UACGGGGGGUGCGAGCGUUGUCCGGAAUCACUGGGCGUAAAGGGCGCGUAGGUGGCCUGAUAAGGGUGUGGUGAAAGUCCGGGGCUCAACCCCGGAUCGGCCGUGCCGACUGUUAGGCUAGAGUACUGUAGGGGCAGGCGGAAUUCCGGGUGUAGCGGUGGAAUGCGUAGAGAUCCGGAGGAACACCGGUGGCGAAGGCGGGUCUCUGGGCCGAUACUGACGCUGAGGAGCGAAAGCGUGGGGAGCGAACAGG
RNAcentral lists this ribosomal RNA (253 nucleotides) under uncultured bacterium. RNAcentral describes it as "partial 16S ribosomal RNA". It matches the Rfam family "Bacterial small subunit ribosomal RNA", at positions 524 to 776 of the family's 1533-position model. The record is from RNAcentral.